UACGGGGGGGGCAAGCGUUGUUCGGAAUUACUGGGCGUAAAGGGCUCGUAGGCGGCCAACUAAGUCAGACGUGAAAUCCCUCGGCUUAACCGGGGAACUGCGUCUGAUACUGGAUGGCUUGAGGUUGGGGAGAGGGAUGCGGAAUUCCAGGUGUAGCGGUGAAAUGCGUAGAUAUCUGGAGGAACACCGGUGGCGAAGGCGGCAUCCCGUGGACCAAUUCUGACGCUGAGGAGCGAAAGCUAGGG
RNAcentral lists this ribosomal RNA (245 nucleotides) under uncultured bacterium. RNAcentral describes it as "partial 16S ribosomal RNA". It matches the Rfam family "Bacterial small subunit ribosomal RNA", at positions 524 to 765 of the family's 1533-position model. The record is from RNAcentral.